AUGCUUCAAUAAGGUGCUCAAGGGUGCACGUGCAUACCCGUGACGGCAAUAGUUCAAUACACAUUUGACAAGAUGAAUGAAUACUUUUUGAAGCACUCAAUGGAGACUGAUAAGUAGAUUGCUAGUGAGAACAAGGAUAAGCACAAGUACAAUUUCCCACCAAAGGUUGAAGAAUGGUUGGAAUUUCAAUCACGAAAGGCAGACUCCGAAGAAGCUGUACUAUAUGACGACAAUGAGUGGAAGUAUGAGGUGAAAGAGCCCGGAGGAACCACAAACGAUGGCCGCCAACACGGAGGCCGGCCUUUCAAGGUCUCCCUAACACGGUGUGAUUGCAGCUGCAUGAGGCCGUCUUUGCUUCAUCUCCCAUGCUCGCACUUGUUAAAUGCAUCCCGGGUUAGGAAUGUGGACGUCAAUCACCCUCUUACCGUGAGGGAGUCUGAGUUCUCAAUCAUGAUGGUAAAGAAUACAUGGACUCCACGGUUCCAGCCAUACUUGGACCAAUCACAAUGGCCGGAGUAUCAUGGAGUUCAACUAUGGCCGGACCCGGAAUUGAAGGUCGCUAGCCAGGGAAGACAUAAGACAAAGCGUCUUAGAGGUGACAUGGACGGAUGGGGCCGUGGUGGCGGUGGAGAAUACGGCACCGGUUAA
This 648-nucleotide ribosomal RNA is filed under the name Triticum aestivum (bread wheat). RNAcentral describes it as "partial small subunit ribosomal RNA". Lineage: Eukaryota; Viridiplantae; Streptophyta; Magnoliopsida; Poales; Poaceae. The record is from RNAcentral.